Bombus huntii is the source of this 818-nucleotide long non-coding RNA. RefSeq lists it as uncharacterized. The transcript has 2 exons. Lineage: Eukaryota; Metazoa; Arthropoda; Insecta; Hymenoptera; Apidae. The record is from RefSeq and is a predicted model, not a curated record.
UCUUUUUUUUUUUUUUUUUUUUUUUUUUGUUAAACAUUCGUUUUCGAUAGUAGAGUCGCAGGUCACGCAAGGAGGAUAAAGCCUUUCCUGGAACUCAAAAAUGUAACUAUUGUCGUACGUUGUAUUUUAAUUAAUUUAUCGAACUAAAAUCUUAAAAUUUUGCUCUUGAAAUACGCAAUAAAAAUGUUUGACAACGUUCGGAAAUCGAUAGAGUCUCAAUUUCUAAGUCAUUAUUAUGUUAAAGUUCCACUUUUUAUGUAGUAAUUAAACUUUAUUAGAAUUUCAAUUCUUUUUAUUAUUAAAAUUUCAAGUUUGAUUAGAGUUUUAUUCUUCAUUGUUUUAAGUUUUCUAACCAUCACAAGUACGUUUUCAAGAACAGAUCAUAAUAUUUAACAUGUUUUGUUACAGGUUUUUCAUAACUUCCAUUUUUUUAUUCUUCUUUGGGAAGGAUGUAGCGGUGUUUUAAAUUUAAGCAUGUAUGUCACUUCUUCCCCUUCUUCCUGUUCUCUGGAGAGGACCUAGUGGUGUUUCAAAAGCCAAAAAUGUAAAUAACUAUGUAUUUUUUAUUUUAUUUAAGUCGAUUCCUUAUAUUUCAUUUAAUAAUUUAAUUAAAUAAUAAUUAGAUAAUUUAAAAAAUAAAAUUUGAUUGAAAAUUUGACAACUUGUAAAGUUUUCAUUCUUAAAUUGAAUGUUAUUAUUAAAAAUUUUUAUUUAAUAGAAAUUAGUCUUUUAUUGAUUCAAACUUUUAAAGUAAUUAACACCGUCAUUACGAGUAAAUUAAAAUAUUCUAUGCUUUAUUAAAGUUUUCUUCCAUCGAA